This 253-nucleotide ribosomal RNA is filed under the name uncultured bacterium. Its description in RNAcentral is "partial 16S ribosomal RNA". It matches the Rfam family "Bacterial small subunit ribosomal RNA", at positions 524 to 776 of the family's 1533-position model. The record is from RNAcentral.
UACGUAGGGUCCGAGCGUUGUCCGGAAUUAUUGGGCGUAAAGAGCUUGUAGGCGGUUUGUCGCGUCUGCUGUGAAAUUUCGGGGCUCAACCCCGAACUUGCAGUGGGUACGGGCAGGCUAGAGUGUGGUAGGGGAGACUGGAAUUCCUGGUGUAGCGGUGAAAUGCGCAGAUAUCAGGAGGAACACCGAUGGCGAAGGCAGGUCUCUGGGCCACUUCUGACGCUGAGACGCGAAAGCGUGGGGAGCGAACAGG